This is a non-coding RNA of Fukomys damarensis (Damara mole-rat), 166 nucleotides long. The record is from Rfam. NCBI's taxonomy places the organism in Eukaryota, Metazoa, Chordata, Mammalia, Rodentia, Bathyergidae.
CAUUGUUCUGAUACCUUCAGAUCAGCCAUUAGAAAGGAAAGAUCAGCGAAAUCUUUUGGAUCUGAUCAACUUAAUAUAGGAACUACUGAUUUCAUUUUGUUUAGCCCAAUUCUCUGAAACAAUGAAGUAUACAAGUUCUUUCUGGACUUUUCAGUUCUGCAUCAUU